RNAcentral lists this ribosomal RNA (119 nucleotides) under Hordeum vulgare subsp. vulgare (domesticated barley). The record is from RNAcentral. Lineage: Eukaryota; Viridiplantae; Streptophyta; Magnoliopsida; Poales; Poaceae.
AGAUGCGAUCAUACAAUUACUAAAUCAUAGAAUUCCAUCACAAGUCUGAAGUUAAGCGUGCUUGCGCGAGAGUAGUACAAGGAUGGGUGCCCUCCUGGGAAGUCCUCGUGUUGCAUUCC